Molecule: ribosomal RNA, 401 nt
Filed under: Cryptosporidium environmental sequence
Lineage: Eukaryota; Apicomplexa; Conoidasida; Eucoccidiorida; Cryptosporidiidae
Description: SSU rRNA
Rfam family: Eukaryotic small subunit ribosomal RNA
Source: RNAcentral
UGUUAAUUGCUUUAUAUAAUUUAUGCUUUGCUGCAUAUUUAUAUAGUAUUAACAUAAUUCAUAUUACUAUAUUUUUCUAGUAUAUGAAACUUUACUUUGAGAAAAUUAGAGUGCUUAAAGCAGGCUUUUGCCUUGAAUACUUCAGCAUGGAAUAAUAAUAAAAGAUUUUUAUCUUUCUUUAUUGGUUCUAAGAUAGAAAUAAUGAUUAAUAGGGACAGUUGGGGGCAUUUGUAUUUAACAGUUAGAGGUGAAAUUCUUAGAUUUGUUAAAGACAAACUAGUGCGAAAGCAUUUGCCAAGGAUGUUUUCAUUAAUCAAGAACGAAAGUUAGGGGAUCGAAGACGAUCAGAUACCGUCGUAGUCUUAACCAUAAACUAUGCCAACUAGAGAUUGGAGGUUGUU